This 492-nucleotide ribosomal RNA is filed under the name uncultured bacterium. RNAcentral describes it as "partial 16S ribosomal RNA". It matches the Rfam family "Bacterial small subunit ribosomal RNA", at positions 29 to 507 of the family's 1533-position model. The record is from RNAcentral.
AGUGAACGCUGGCGGUAGGCCUAACACAUGCAAGUCGAACGGCAGCACAGUAAGAGCUUGCUCUUACGGGUGGCGAGUGGCGGACGGGUGAGGAAUACAUCGGAAUCUACUUUUUCGUGGGGGAUAACGUAGGGAAACUUACGCUAAUACCGCAUACGACCUACGGGUGAAAGCAGGGGUUCUUCGGACCUUGCGCGAUUGAAUGAGCCGAUGUCGGAUUAGCUAGUUGGCGGGGUAAAGGCCCACCAAGGCGACGAUCCGUAGCUGGUCUGAGAGGAUGAUCAGCCACACUGGCACUGAGACACGGUCCAGACUCCUACGGGAGGCAGCAGUGGGGAAUAUUGGACAAUGGGCGAAAGCCUGAUCCAGCCAUACCGCGUGGGUGAAGAAGGCCUUCGGGUUGUAAAGCCCUUUUGUUGGGAAAGAAAAGCAGCAGGUUAAUACCCCGCUGUUCUGACGGUACCCAAAGAAUAAGCACCGGCUAACUUCGUG